UCCGGUAGUAGUAACAAAGUUGAAAGAAGUAAUUGAAAAAGUCACACACCAGACCUCAACUUUUGCAUCCAACUGGUCAACACCAACAGCAUCUGUAGACUCACCAGCUUCUGCAUGCGUUUCUCCUGAAGUGGUGUCUGAUGAUAUGGUGUCUCUUGUGCCAGGCUUUGAUGUCAAAGUCCCUAGACGAAAGCUUAACUGUCUGCGGACUGCAAAUCCAUCGGUCUACAUAGGGGACCUUGCUGUGCUUGUCUACGGCAGGGAAACGCUGUCCCAUUCAAGUUUGACGGGGAGACAGUCUGGGGCACACAAAGACAUGGAAUCUAAGCCACAACUCGAUAACACAAAACUUGAAGCUAUAGUUGCAUCCAUGAUGUGAGACGCAUCAUAAGAAAAAAAUGCAACAACGAAAGGUACGCCAAGCAAGCUACUGCAAAGAAGACCGUAUGAAAAGAACAUUUAGUUUUGUGGUUCCUCUGCCAUUUAACAGGGCAGAAACUAGAGGAGUACAACCUCUUUGUGGGGAGCUAGUGACCCUACAUAUGUGUUUAUACUGUUUGUUGAACUGGACAUCCAAAACAAUAUUUGUUUAAAACUUUGAUUUGUAGAGAAAAAAACUAUUUUCA
Long non-coding RNA from Micropterus dolomieu (smallmouth bass), 626 nucleotides. RefSeq lists it as uncharacterized. The record is from RefSeq and is a predicted model, not a curated record. The transcript has 3 exons. NCBI's taxonomy places the organism in Eukaryota, Metazoa, Chordata, Actinopteri, Centrarchiformes, Centrarchidae.